RNAcentral lists this ribosomal RNA (301 nucleotides) under uncultured bacterium. Its description in RNAcentral is "partial 16S ribosomal RNA". It matches the Rfam family "Bacterial small subunit ribosomal RNA", at positions 509 to 807 of the family's 1533-position model. The record is from RNAcentral.
CAGCAGCCGCGGGAAUACGUAGGGUGCGAGCGUUAAUCGGAAUUACUGGGCGUAAAGCGGGCGCAGACGGCUACUUAAGCAGGAUGUGAAAUCCCCGGGCUCAACCUGGGAAUUGCGUUCUGAACUGGGUGGCUAGAGUGUGUCAGAGGGGGGUAGAAUUCCACGUGUAGCAGUGAAAUGCGUAGAGAUGUGGAGGAAUACCGAUGGCGAAGGCAGCCCCCUGGGAUAGCACUGACGUUCAUGCCCGAAAGCGUGGGUAGCAAACAGGAUUAGAGACCCCAGUAGUCCCUGUCUCUUAUAC